GUUUUUGUGGUGUAAUGGUAGCACACUCAGCUCGUAUUCCAGAGGUCCAGGUUCGAGUCCUGGCCAGGGCC
Molecule: transfer RNA, 71 nt
Filed under: Stegodyphus mimosarum
Lineage: Eukaryota; Metazoa; Arthropoda; Arachnida; Araneae; Eresidae
Rfam family: tRNA
About the family: Transfer RNA (tRNA) molecules are approximately 80 nucleotides in length. Their secondary structure includes four short double-helical elements and three loops (D, anti-codon, and T loops).
Source: Rfam by way of RNAcentral